UUACACGUAAAUCGCAUGCGAAACCCGCACGGUUCAAAUAAGAAUGCAUUUUCAAGUAUAAUUACAUGUAGUAGCAUGAACGGCACAACAGUUGUAAACAAAGUCUUUGUUCGUUUGCUGUUUGUUCCGGCGGAUUAUUCAAUCAUAAUUGGUGGCGACAAAAUACUUAACAAAAAAAACAAUAUUUUGCUUUGGAUUCACUCCGCAGCAAAAUCCAAGGAUGGAAUUCUGCCAGAGGGUGGAAGAUAAACGAAGAAAGCUCGGAUUCUCUCAGUCUGCCAACAAACAAGGCUGCCGAAAUUGUAUGGCUGCAUUUUUUCUGCAAAUAACACGCCAGCCGUCGUUACCGUCGUCGGGGGAAAACUAAUAAAUAGAUCGGACUGUGUGUUAAAAUUUAAGUGAAAAGUGAGGUGAAAUAAUUAUUUGAUCUUCAGUGAACUGUUUGUCUUUAUAUUGAAUGUAGUUGAUGUGUGAGAUGUAUAAUAAAAGUUGUUAUCAAAA
This is a long non-coding RNA of Uranotaenia lowii, 501 nucleotides long. RefSeq lists it as uncharacterized. The record is from RefSeq and is a predicted model, not a curated record. The transcript has 2 exons. Lineage: Eukaryota; Metazoa; Arthropoda; Insecta; Diptera; Culicidae.